GCGGGAGUGGCGAAAUUGGUAGACGCCACCAGAUUUAGGUUCUGGCGCCCGCAAGGUGUGCGAGUUCAAGUCUCGCCUCCCGCACCA
Molecule: transfer RNA, 87 nt
Filed under: Proteus mirabilis
Lineage: Bacteria; Pseudomonadati; Pseudomonadota; Gammaproteobacteria; Enterobacterales; Morganellaceae
Description: tRNA-Leu(tag)
Rfam family: tRNA
About the family: Transfer RNA (tRNA) molecules are approximately 80 nucleotides in length. Their secondary structure includes four short double-helical elements and three loops (D, anti-codon, and T loops).
Source: RNAcentral